This 279-nucleotide unclassified non-coding RNA is filed under the name plant metagenome. Its description in RNAcentral is "partial contains small subunit ribosomal RNA, internal transcribed spacer 1, and 5.8S ribosomal RNA". The record is from RNAcentral.
UUUCCGUAGGUGAACCCGCGGAAGGAUCAUUAACGCAAUAAUUAUUUAGCAUUCCGUGUUAUCCCAUUGUUUUAUUUACAAUGUUGCUACUAAUGGAUGAGUCUUCAUACCUCGUGUAUGAGUAACUUUCGUUAGCGUAAGAUUAAUUCAUGGCGCGAAAGUGAGAUGUCAAUUAUCAAAAUUCUGUUAGGUACAUAUCUUCUGACUAUCUUACUCCAAUAACAUAAAACUUCCAACAACGGAUCUUUUGAACCUUGCAUCGAUGAAGAAAGCAGCAGA